This 253-nucleotide ribosomal RNA is filed under the name uncultured bacterium. RNAcentral's name for it is "partial 16S ribosomal RNA". It matches the Rfam family "Bacterial small subunit ribosomal RNA", at positions 524 to 776 of the family's 1533-position model. The record is from RNAcentral.
UACGUAGGGGGCAAGCGUUGUCCGGAUUUACUGGGUGUAAAGGGAGCGCAGGCGGCUAGAUAAGUCAGAGGUGAAAUCCUACAGCUUAACUGUAGAACUGCCUUUGAUACUGUAUAGCUUGAGUACUAGAGAGAGAGACGGAAUUCCAGGUGUAGUGGUGAAAUACGUAGAUAUCUGGAAGAACACCAGAGGCGAAGGCGGUCUCUUGGCUAGUAACUGACGCUGAGGCUCGAAAGCGUGGGGAGCGAACAGG